GACCUCGGAUCAGGUAGGACUACCCGCUGAACUUAAGCAUAUC
Molecule: ribosomal RNA, 43 nt
Filed under: Sporothrix sp. EPF089
Lineage: Eukaryota; Fungi; Ascomycota; Sordariomycetes; Ophiostomatales; Ophiostomataceae
Description: partial 28S ribosomal RNA
Source: RNAcentral